UUUUUUCAAGUCAGUGUUUGUCAAUGGUUUAUGUGCAAAAUAGAACUAUUUUUGAUGGGAUUCAACUGGAUUUUCACUAGUAAUACAUCAGGGAUGUUUGCAUAAUGUUCAGGUAAGAAUAAGUUUAUAUUUUAUUUAUAAUAAAGCAACUAUAAAGGAAAUACCUCCAAUCUUCUUUUGUGAAAUUCGAACAUGUGGUUCGAUAAAAUUUGAAUUUGCCGCGACAAUAUAAACGGAAUUAGAAUGCUGAUAUAAAUAUAUUUAUAGCGUUUAUACUUCAACAAAUGCUACUAUAAAAGUUUUAUAUUUGAAUCAGACUUAUCCAUGUUUAUUAAUAUAUUUGUAAAUCCCAAGUGCCAACUGUAUAUGCCAGAUUAAUUGUAAAUUGUCAGCCAUAUUUAAUGCAUGCCCAUAGAAAAUUUAACUACUUGCUCAAAUCAGCAGCAGUAUUUAUUCAUAUGUUUUGUUUAAAUUAAACAAUUUUCAUUUUGAGAGGUCUUGCACCGGUCAAUGUAUUAAAAUCUGUUAGCCUUUAGACAUGCUUUAGUGUAAUGCCAGGAAAAUUAUCCAUAUUUUUCUAUUAAUUAAACAUAACUAUGUGAUGGUAUUCAAAUUAACCAGACUCGAUCUCUGCUAGCUUACAUUUCAUGCUAACUUGUUAAGAUGAAUGUGCUCAACUUUCAGUACUUUUUUAUUUUACCUUGUCUAACACCAGAUCAUUUUACUUGAAAGAGAGUGGACAACUUUAAUAGGUUACCUUGCUGUCUCCAUGUGUUUUGUGUAAACUCAUUAAGACCCAAUUCACAAAUUCACACUAAUGUGCUCUAUUUCAAAGCUCAAUAUUUUGCCCUGUUAAUACCAGACUAUUUUGCAUUAUUUGGCAUUAGCACAUUUAGAUGCAAUUCACCCUAACACUCAAUCCCCACUUUCAGUACUUUGAUAUUUAUCAGAUGAUUUUACUAAUCAAAAUGAAUGUUGGUCAUUGAAAGGUUAAUAAUUAACUGGAAAAGCUGCUGUGUGGCAUAUUUAGAAGCAAUGUGCCCUACUUUUAGUACUUUGUUAUUUUACUGUGUUUAUUCUAUUAAAGUGCUAGACUCUCCACUUAGAGUAAAAUAAUAAAUUGGGUGCAUUUGGGCAUAUUUAAUGGGUUAACAAAACACAUUGGAAUGGUAUACGUAAAAUAAAUGUAUUUGUCUUUUUACAGCUAUCAACAAAGUAUGGAUGUAAGGCCUCAGAGGUUCGUCAACAUAUGAGGACAAAUAUAAACAACAUGGGAAAGUGCUGCAAAGUACAGAAAAGCAAACAAGAACAAGAACUUAUUUGAGGACUAUGUUUUGAGGCCAGUUUUAAACUUAACUUUAAAUGUCAAUUAUGGUUAUUACCUAUGGUUUAGCCCAUUAAGUGCCAGCGCUCUGACGAGUAAAAUCGUCUGGCGUUAGACAGAGUAAACUAUAGUAAAAUAAUAAAGUAAGGCGCAUCAGGGCGC
This is a non-coding RNA of Paramuricea clavata, 1486 nucleotides long. The record is from the annotation of a GenBank genome assembly. Lineage: Eukaryota; Metazoa; Cnidaria; Anthozoa; Malacalcyonacea; Plexauridae.